Molecule: ribosomal RNA, 301 nt
Filed under: uncultured bacterium
Lineage: Bacteria
Description: partial 16S ribosomal RNA
Rfam family: Bacterial small subunit ribosomal RNA
Source: RNAcentral
CAGCCGCCACGGUAAUACGGAGGGUGCAAGCGUUAAUCGGAAUUACUGGGCGUAAAGCGCACGCAGGCGGUCUGUCAAGUCGGAUGUGAAAUCCCCGGGCUCAACCUGGGAACUGCAUUCGAAACUGGCAGGCUAGAGUCUUGUAGAGGGGGGUAGAAUUCCAGGUGUAGCGGUGAAAUGCGUAGAGAUCUGGAGGAAUACCGGUGGCGAAGGCGGCCCCCUGGACAAAGACUGACGCUCAGGUGCGAAAGCGUGGGGAGCAAACAGGAUUAGAUACCCGAGUAGUCCCUGUCUCUUAUAC